RNAcentral lists this transfer RNA (71 nucleotides) under Hordeum vulgare. RNAcentral describes it as "tRNA-OTHER". Lineage: Eukaryota; Viridiplantae; Streptophyta; Magnoliopsida; Poales; Poaceae. The record is from RNAcentral.
CGUAGCGUAGCAUAGUGGUUGCAGUGUGAACUGUUGAUCAGUGGUGCUGGGUUCGAGUCCCCGCGGUGCCA